Molecule: ribosomal RNA, 404 nt
Filed under: uncultured microorganism
Description: bacterial SSU rRNA
Rfam family: Bacterial small subunit ribosomal RNA
Source: RNAcentral
GAGUUUGAUCUUGGCUCAGAUUGAACGCUGGCGGCAUGCCUUACACAUGCAAGUCGAACGGUAACAGGUCUUCGGAUGCUGACGAGUGGCGAACGGGUGAGUAAUACAUCGGAACGUGCCCGAUCGUGGGGGGAUAACGGAGCGAAAGCUUUGCUAAUACCGCAUACGAUCUACGGAUGAAAGCAGGGGACCGCAAGGCCUUGCGCGGACGGAGCGGCCGAUGGCAGAUUAGGUAGUUGGUGGGAUAAAAGCUUACCAAGCCGACGAUCUGUAGCUGGUCUGAGAGGACGACCAGCCACACUGGGACUGAGACACGGCCCAGACUCCUACGGGAGGCAGCAGUGGGGAAUUUUGGACAAUGGGCGAAAGCCUGAUCCAGCCAUGCCGCGUGCAGGAUGAAGGCC